RNAcentral lists this ribosomal RNA (229 nucleotides) under uncultured bacterium. RNAcentral describes it as "partial 16S ribosomal RNA". It matches the Rfam family "Bacterial small subunit ribosomal RNA", at positions 568 to 796 of the family's 1533-position model. The record is from RNAcentral.
UGCGUAGGCGGAAUGAUAAGUUAGUGGUGAAAGCCUCCGGCUCAACCGGAGAACUGCCAUUAAUACUGUUAUUCUUGAGUAUAGUUGAAGUGGGCGGAAUGUAUCAUGUAGCGGUGAAAUGCUUAGAUAUGAUACAGAACACCAAUAGCGUAGGCAGCUUGCUAAACUAUAACUGACGCUCAGGCACGAAAGCGUGGGGAGCAAACAGGAUUAGAUACCCUGGUAGUCC